UACGGAGGGUGCAAACGUUGCUCGGAAUCAUUGGGCGUAAAGCGCACGUAGGCGGUCCAGCAAGUCGGGUGUGAAAGCCCUCGGCUUAACCGAGGAAGUGCAUUCGAAACUACUGGACUUGAGUACUGAAGAGGGUCGCGGAAUUCCCGGUGUAGAGGUGAAAUUCGUAGAUAUCGGGAGGAACACCCGUGGCUAAGGCGGCUCUCUAGUACGUGACUGACGCUGAGACGCGAAAGCGUGGGGAGCGAACAGG
RNAcentral lists this ribosomal RNA (253 nucleotides) under uncultured bacterium. Its description in RNAcentral is "partial 16S ribosomal RNA". It matches the Rfam family "Bacterial small subunit ribosomal RNA", at positions 524 to 776 of the family's 1533-position model. The record is from RNAcentral.